GUCUCAGUAGCUCAGCUGGAUAGAGCAUUCGCCUCCUAAGCGAAAGGUCGUAAGUUCAAAUCUUAUCUGGGACGCCA
Molecule: transfer RNA, 77 nt
Filed under: Catenibacterium mitsuokai
Lineage: Bacteria; Bacillati; Bacillota; Erysipelotrichia; Erysipelotrichales; Coprobacillaceae
Also listed under: 8 other names
Description: tRNA-Arg
Rfam family: tRNA
About the family: Transfer RNA (tRNA) molecules are approximately 80 nucleotides in length. Their secondary structure includes four short double-helical elements and three loops (D, anti-codon, and T loops).
Source: RNAcentral